RNAcentral lists this non-coding RNA (20 nucleotides) under Mus musculus (house mouse). The record is from RNAcentral. Lineage: Eukaryota; Metazoa; Chordata; Mammalia; Rodentia; Muridae.
GAAAGACAUCAUGCUGAAUA